RNAcentral lists this ribosomal RNA (809 nucleotides) under uncultured bacterium. RNAcentral describes it as "bacterial SSU rRNA". It matches the Rfam family "Bacterial small subunit ribosomal RNA", at positions 1 to 809 of the family's 1533-position model. The record is from RNAcentral.
GAAUUCGCCCUUAGAGUUUGAUCCUGGCUCAGGACGAACGCUGGCGGCGUGCCUAACACAUGCAAGUCGAGCGGGGAAGAGGAGAUAGCUUGCUAACUCCUGUUUCUAGCGGCGGACGGGUGAGUAACGCGUGAGCAACCUGCCUUUAUCAGGGGGAUAACGCAUCGAAAGAUGUGCUAAUACCGCGUAAGACCACAGCCUCACAUGGGGCAGAGGUCAAAGGAGCAAUCCGGAUAAAGAUGGGCUCGCGUCCGAUUAGCUAGUUGGUGAGAUAACAGCCCACCAAGGCGACGAUCGGUAGCCGACCUGAGAGGGUGAUCGGCCACAUUGGAACUGAGAGACGGUCCAGACUCCUACGGGAGGCAGCAGUGGGGAAUAUUGGGCAAUGGGCGAAAGCCUGACCCAGCAACGCCGCGUGAGGGAAGAAGGGUUUCGGCUCGUAAACCUCUGUCCUAUGGGACGAAGGAAGUGACGGUACCAUAGGAGGAAGCCCCGGCUAACUACGUGCCAGCAGCCGCGGUAAUACGUAGGGGGCGAGCGUUGUCCGGAAUUACUGGGCGUAAAGGGCGUGUAGGCGGCGAUUUAAGUCUGGAGUGAAAGUCCUGCUUUUAAGGUGGGAAUUGCUUUGGAUACUGGAUGGCUAGAGUGCAGGAGAGGUUAGUGGAAUUCCCAGUGUAGCGGUGAAAUGCGUAGAGAUUGGGAGGAACACCAGUGGCGAAGGCGACUAACUGGACUGUAACUGACGCUGAGGCGCGAAAGUGUGGGGAGCAAACAAGAUUAGAUACCCUGGUAGUCCACACUGUAAACGA